UCGAAAGCACAAAAGUCAACGAAAGCAACAAUAUCUGAGUACAGACAUAAGUUAAACAAGUUUGCCUUAAGAAGGCUAGCACAAAAGUAGCAAUGAUCGAAAAGGAGAGGCCUCCUGUCUGGGACCUCCUAACUACUCCUCAAAUCCGAACUCCAUGUAGAAUCAUCCUCGGGAUCCUCUGGCUCCUGGGCUCCAUCAUAUGAUCGCAAUAACUGGGAAAGGGAGAAAAAGAAGUAGCAAAACAACCGUGAGUACUCAUCCAAAGUACUCGCAAGCAAGGAUCUACACUACAUAUGCAUUGGUAUCAAUGAAAGGGGUAGUAUAUGUGGACUGAACUGCAGAAUGCCAGAAUAAGAGGGGGAUAGCUAGUCCUAUCGAAGACUACGCUUUUGGUAGCCUCCAUCUUGAAAUAGUAGAAGAGAGUAGAUGGUAAGUUAACCAAGUAUCACCGCAUAGCAUACUCCUACCCGGUGAUCCUCUCCUCGUCGCCCUGUUAGAGAGCGAUCACUGAUUGUAUCUGGCACUUGAAAGGGUGUGUUUUAUUAAGUAUCCGGUUCUAGUUGUCAUAAGGUCAAGGUACAACUCCGGGUCAUCCUUUUACCGAGGGACACGACUAUUCGAAUAGAUAAACUUCCCUGUAGGGGUGCACCACAUUUCCCAACACGCUCAAUCCCCUUUGGCCGGGCACACUUUCCUAAGUCAUGCCCAGCCUUGGAAGAUCAACACGUCACAGCCCCACCUAGGCACAACAGAGAGGUCAGCACGCCGGUCUAAAUCCUAAGCGCGCAGGGGUCUGGGCCCAUCGCCCAUUGCACACCUGCAUGUUGCAUACGCGGCCGAUGAGCAUACCUAGCAACCUCCAUUACAAAGAAAGUUGUGUUACGCGGUCCAACCUGGCGAGCGUCGCCCAGUCGCUGACGUCACAAAGGCUUCGGCUGAUACCACGACGUCGAGUGCCCAUAACUGUUCCCCCGUAGUUUGUUAGUGCGUAUAGGCCAGUGGCCAGACUCGGAUCAAAUACCAAGAUCUCGUUAAGCGUGUUAUCUUGAAGUUACCACGAACGUCGACCAGGGCCAGGCCCACCUCUCUCCUGGGUGGUCUCAAUCUGCCCUGUCGCUCCGCCACAAAGAUCCACCCAGAGGGUCGUCAGGACAAAGGUCCUUUCAGCCCCCAAUCCGUGAAUCACUCGCGGGUACUCUUCGAGCUGACCCGUCUUUAGUCAUCACAUGUAUCAUGUAUAAGAUAUAUAACAUAUACCCAUGAUCACCUCCCUAGUGAUCAAGGCCCGAUAGUAUAGCAUGGUAGACGGACAAGAAUGUAGGGUCAUUGAUGAUAAACUAGCAUCCUAUACUAGGCAUUUAGGAUUGCAGGUAAGGGUAACAACUGUAGCAACAAUGACAGGCUAUGCAGCAGAAUAGGAUUAACCGAAAGCAGUAACAUGCUACACUACUCUAAUGCAAGCAGUAGAGAGAAGGAAUAGGCGAUAUCUGGUGAUCAAGGGGGGGGGGCUUGCCUGGUUGCUCUGGCAAGGAAGGGUCGUCAACACCGUAGUCGAACUGGGGUCGCCGGCAGUCUCGGGGUCUACCGGAAGGAAAGUAAGGGAGGGGGAACACAAUAAAUAACAGAGCAAUCAAAGCAUCACAAAGCGUAACAUGGCAAUACACGAUACUAGAGGUGACCUAACGCAGUAGGAGGGGAUACCGGCGAAGGGGGGAAACAUUCGGGAAAGUAUCCUCGGUGUUUCAUGUUUUCGGGCAAAUGAACCGGAUGGGGAAAGUUGCGUGUUCGCUAUGCUAGGGAUGUGUGAUGGACGAACAGGUUGUGUAUCCAGAUUUGUCUCGUCGUUCUGAACAACUUUCAUGUAGAAAACAUUUUCAUCCGAGCUACGGUUAUUUUAUAUGAUUUUUCAAAGAUUUAAACACUAUUUCGGAAUUUUGUAUUUAUUUUUAAUCCGAAUUGACCAAGUCAAAUUUGACUGGUCAAAUGGGGAGGUGUGGCCCACAUGGCAUUGACUAAGCCUAAACAAAUAAAUAAAAUCUAACUUAGUUAAAAGGGGGCCACAUGUCAUCUACACAUUUGACUAGUAAACAAAUAAGCUAACCUAAUCUAACUAAUUAGGGCCGGCCCCAUACACACCUACGCACACAAAACACACACGCACACCACAUAGCACAUGGCCAACAACAACGUAGUGCAGCACGAGGGUAGAGCAAUAGCAGCGGCAACUAUCAAGGGCAGCGGCAGCACAAGGCAGCAAAUAACAGCAGUACGGUGGCAGCAGCAGAGCAGCGACCUGUAGUGGCGCAAGCAGCAAGCAGGGCCGUGGGCACGGCCAUGGAGUGGUGGGGCGCUGGCGUGUGCACUGACAGAGGCAAGCAAGGGCGUGGGCUGGGUAUGCAGGGACUCGCAGUGAGCACGGCCAGCGGUGGGUGAGCGCAGCCAGCGGAAGCGGGCGCGUACGGAGCAGGGCCACGGGCGCGGCCAAGCGAGCUCGGGACGACGACUACAACCCAGAUCGAGCAAGGGAACAGGGGGAAUCGGUGGAGGGCCUCACCGUGGGUCCGACAGCGUGCUCGGGGAGGCCAGGGAUGGGCCGGAGAGGCGGUGGUGACGGCGAGACGGCGACGAUGUGCGGCGGCCGGACGAAGGAGAUGUAGAUGGCGUCGGCUCGAGGGCGUCCUGGCUUGAGCUAGACCCCGGGGCGGACAAAUCCAGCCAUGGCGAACCUCUUGGACAUGCUCCCGCACGCCGGAGACGACGGUGGUCGCGACGCUGGCGGAGAGGGAGUGGUGAUUGCGAGUUUUCGAGCUCGAAAACUAGCAGAAUAGGAGGAGGGCGAUGGGGGAUCUAGG
This 2852-nucleotide long non-coding RNA is filed under the name Triticum aestivum (bread wheat). RNAcentral's name for it is "long non-coding RNA (TAES_LNC001249)". Lineage: Eukaryota; Viridiplantae; Streptophyta; Magnoliopsida; Poales; Poaceae. The record is from RNAcentral.